UGGUGUCACCUUCACUGUGAUGGAGACUAACGGGGACAAGACGCGGCGAGUUGAAGAUGCGUGCACGGCAAGCUAAGUGGACCUGCGGGGCGUGCUCCCGGCGCUGCGGGCGAAUGGGAGGUGCCAGAGACCGAGGAGGAGUCGGUCACAAGGAGAGCAGAGGAAGCUGAAACUGAACUGGGGUCCUGUGGGAUGAUGAGGAAUGGGUUUCAGGAGGAUGGAGGACCAGGAUAGGGAGGAUCAAGAGGAUGCAGAGCAGCCUCCAGGAAGCUAGCGGUGUGUCAGCCUGGGCGGGGCCUGGACACCCUAGCAGAGGUUGUCACCUCCAGCCUCCCGGUGAGAUUGUAGUUGGAGCCCCGGGUGCGCCCCGCAGUGGCAGGCGCGAGGCUGCUGACCCAAGCAGUUUCUUCCCUGCCACCUCGGAGAGUAGGGCACCAGAGCAGCUGGAGUUCGGCUCGGGGUACCACCUGGCCAUCCCCACCACCACAGGCGCCUGGCGAACGCAGGCCGCGCCUCCGGGGCCCUGGGCCGAGGGCCUGGCGACGUCACCGCGGCUGAGCGCUAACCUGGCGCGGGCUUCCUCCCAGCAGGUCCGAGUCCUUGAAGCCUGCUGCCGCAUCCUUGGCCCUCCUCCCAGGGAACCUAGAUUUUGCUAACUCGGGAAGGCUCUUAGUUCAGCUACUGAUAAGGACGCGAGCUAAUAGUUUAUGUAUAGAACAAGAAUAAUUAAGGUUUUUUUUAACAAUGCCGGGAAAGAAAUAGCCAAACCCGAGAAACAGACUAAUAAUAACCAACCAGCUAGAGCUCCUGUGCUCAACGCUCUUAAGGACAAUAAUGACGACAACAGCCAUAACAGCCACGGUUUAUUGAGCGCUUACUCUGCCAAGGCAGUGUUGAGCGCUUUGCAGGCAACAACCCUCAGAGGACACCCUAGGAAGAGGUGGUUCUCGACAUCUUUACGGAGAAGAAAAGGAAGGCCCAGAGAAGUUAAGCAAUUUGCUUGAGAUCACAGAACCAGGAGUCAAACUCCAUUAGCCUGAUUCCAGCAUUUCCCUUCAAUAGAGGAACGACCCAAGGAUUUCUCCAAAUCCCACCUAUCUUUCCAAGCUAAGUUCAAAGGCCUCAGGAGCAAUGGGGUCUACCCACCAUGCAUCUUUAGGAAUGACAGCCAUAAACUCUGGGGCUCCAGAGUGUGGGCUUCAGACCCACUUAGUGCUUAUCCCGGCACGGAAGAGAUCACUGAGCCCCAACCCCUUCCAGGACAUUCCGAGCUCUGGCCCAUGGGGAUGCUAACUUUCUCAGAUACAGAAGUCCUCAAGGAAAGUGUCACAGGCAAAUCUUACACAAGUGAAGCCCAGACUUGCCCCAGAGAUGACCAGACUGAGCCGGACCACCCACAUGAGACACAAUGAAAGUGUCCUCCCCAUCCAGGUUGAACCCAAAGAUUCCUCGGAGAGGGACAGAAUUCUGGAGACAUCCCCUUCCUGUUUGGAAUGUGCCCGUGCCCCAGAGCUCCUGCCCAGGAAGAAUAGGCAAUGAGGACUUCAGCUUCCCCAGGCACUUCGGAUGACCCUCGCCUUGCUCUUCACCUCCUGGAAGGACCAUUAUCACAGUACAGUGACACAGGGACCCUCUUCUUGACUUGGCACCAGUCCAGAAUCCUGGACCUGUAGUAGAAGAGACAGAAAACCUGCUCAACUCACUGUUGAUCCCAGAGACUGAGUAGGAAAAUUUUAUUUCUUCCUCUCCCCCUGAUGUUGGUGUGGGCUUCCCUCCUAAACCAGCCCUGGGCUCCACCACUGCCUUCACAAAUGCAGUCAAGCACAGAGAUUAAGCCCUUUAGCGCUGAAGACAGGACCACUCGGUUUAAUCUUAAUUUUUGCCCAGGUAUGUGACUGGUUCCCCGUUCCCGAUAGGAGAGAGCACAGCAGAAUAACAGCACGGCCCCAGUAGAGAGGUUUGUCUACAUACAAAUCACAAGUCACAUAGUGACUCCUACUUGUAAUCUCAGCAUCCUGGAGGCAAAGGCAGGAGGAUCUUCAUAUGUUUUUUGGCCAUUCAGAAAUACAGAGUAAGACCUUGUCUCAAAAGGUGGGCUGUUGUGUAAUGUUGCUCCAUUUGCCUUUAUUCGGGGUGGUGUGUGGGUUCCUGUUCUGAUUGGGGUUUCUAUUGCUGUGAUGGAACAUCAUGAUGAAAGCAAAUCAGGGAAGAAAGGGUUUAUUUGACUUACGCUUCCAUUGUUCAUCAUCAAUGGAAGUCAGUACCCACAUUCAAACAAAGCAGGGAUCUGGAGGCAGGAACUGAUACAGAGGACAUGGGCGGGUGCUGCUUACUGGCUUGCUCUUCAUGCCUUGCUCUGCCCGCUUUCUUAUAGAAGCCAGGACCUCCAGCCCAGGAAUGACCCCACCCACAAAGAUCUGGACCCUAUCCACCAAUCACUAAUUAAGAGAAUGCCGAAAGGCUUGCCUGUUGCCAGAGUCUAUGGAGGCGUUUUCUUCUCAACUGGGGAUCCCCCCUCUUAGAUGACUUUGGUUUGUUUCAAGUUGACAUAAAACUAGCCAGUACAGUUUCCUCAGAGAGACCUACCAGGUUCCGCAAGACCUAUUCUUUGGCUGCCCACUACAGCCCUGUAUCUCUCCCACCCUCUCCACCUGAUUAAACAUCAGUUUUGACUUCAGAAGAGGGGACUGUUUUUGUCUAGUGUGUGUGUGUCUGUGUGCAUAGGCAGAGACUGUUCCUUCAUUUCCGGGUUGCCCUAAACUGAAUAGAAACUAUAUUAAUUACAACAGUGUUUGGACAAUAGUUCAGGCAUUUUCCUUGUUAGCUCUUACAUCUUGAA
Molecule: long non-coding RNA, 2839 nt
Organism: Microtus ochrogaster (prairie vole)
Lineage: Eukaryota; Metazoa; Chordata; Mammalia; Rodentia; Cricetidae
Source: RefSeq, a predicted model, not a curated record